CUUCAGUGAUGAUACGCUGACGAGUCGGAACGGGGCACAGUCUGUCUCGGGGGGGUCACUGAGUCAGGGUCACGUUUUGUGUGUCUGGGCCCAGUUCCUUCAGUUAAAGACAUAGAGGCAUUUGUCUAAGAAGA
This 134-nucleotide small nucleolar RNA is filed under the name Salmo trutta (river trout). Lineage: Eukaryota; Metazoa; Chordata; Actinopteri; Salmoniformes; Salmonidae. The record is from RNAcentral.